ACUCCUACGGGAGGCAGCAGUGGGGAAUUUUGGACAAUGGGCGAAAGCCUGAUCCAGCAAUGCCGCGUGAGUGAAGAAGGCCUUCGGGUUGUAAAGCUCUUUUGUCAGGGAAGAAACGGUGAGAGCUAAUAUCUUUUGCUAAUGACGGUACCUGAAGAAUAAGCACCGGCUAACUACGUGCCAGCAGCCGCGGUAAUACGUAGGGUGCAAGCGUUAAUCGGAAUUACUGGGCGUAAAGCGUGCGCAGGCGGUUUUGUAAGUCUGAUGUGAAAUCCCCGGGCUCAACCUGGGAAUUGCAUUGGAGACUGCAAGGCUAGAAUCUGGCAGAGGGGGGUAGAAUUCCACGUGUAGCAGUGAAAUGCGUAGAUAUGUGGAGGAACACCGAUGGCGAAGGCAGCCCCCUGGGUCAAGAUUGACGCUCAUGCACGAAAGCGUGGGGAGCAAACAGGAUUAGAAACCCCUGUAGUCC
RNAcentral lists this ribosomal RNA (469 nucleotides) under uncultured organism. RNAcentral's name for it is "partial 16S ribosomal RNA". It matches the Rfam family "Bacterial small subunit ribosomal RNA", at positions 335 to 796 of the family's 1533-position model. The record is from RNAcentral.